GAUGAACGCUGGCGGCGUGCCUAAUACAUGCAAGUCGAGCGAACAGACGAGGAGCUUGCUCCUCUGACGUUAGCGGCGGACGGGUGAGUAACACGUGGAUAACCUACCUAUAAGACUGGGAUAACUUCGGGAAACCGGAGCUAAUACCGGAUAACAUGUUGAACCGCAUGGUUCAACAGUGAAAGACGGUUUUGCUGUCACUUAUAGAUGGAUCCGCGUCGCAUUAGCUAGUUGGUAAGGUAACGGCUUACCAAGGCAACGAUGCGUAGCCGACCUGAGAGGGUGAUCGGCCACACUGGAACUGAGACACGGUCCAGACUCCUACGGGAGGCAGCAGUAGGGAAUCUUCCGCAAUGGGCGAAAGCCUGACGGAGCAACGCCGCGUGAGUGAAGAAGGUCUUCGGAUCGUAAAACUCUGUUAUUAGGGAAGAACAAAUGUGUAAGUAACUAUGCACGUCUUGACGGUACCUAAUCAGAAAGCAACGGCUAACUACGUG
Molecule: ribosomal RNA, 497 nt
Filed under: uncultured bacterium
Lineage: Bacteria
Description: partial 16S ribosomal RNA
Rfam family: Bacterial small subunit ribosomal RNA
Source: RNAcentral